RNAcentral lists this small RNA (792 nucleotides) under Pan troglodytes (chimpanzee). RNAcentral describes it as "retained intron". The record is from RNAcentral. Lineage: Eukaryota; Metazoa; Chordata; Mammalia; Primates; Hominidae.
CAGCUGUGUUCCCGGAUGCAGGGUCUCCAGAGGGCCAACCCUUCCUGCCUAGAGGCUGGAGAGGGGUGGGGGCCCUUUGGGGGUCAGCUUGCAGUUUCCUUUGGGGGCCUCCUGCCCUGUGGCUUGGUCCCUGGGCCAGAACUGCUCCUGUGGGUGUCCAGGCUGGGCCCCCAGGCCCUCCCCCAGGCCUCGAGGUGGCCUCAGCUUUCCUCCCCUGCAGGAAAUCGUGACUAUUGUGGUGUUUGGCGUGGAGUACUUCGUGCGGAUCUGGGCCGCAGGCUGCUGCUGCCGGUACCGUGGCUGGAGGGGGCGGCUCAAGUUUGCCCGGAAGCCAUUCUGUGUGAUUGACAUCAUGGUGCUCAUCGCCUCCAUUGCGGUGCUGGCCGCCGGCUCCCAGGGCAACGUCUUUGCCACAUCUGCGCUCCGGAGCCUGCGCUUCCUGCAGAUUCUGCGGAUGAUCCGCAUGGACCGGCGGGGAGGCACCUGGAAGCUGCUGGGCUCUGUGGUCUAUGCCCACAGCAAGGAGCUGGUCACUGCCUGGUACAUCGGCUUCCUUUGUCUCAUCCUGGCCUCGUUCCUGGUGUACUUGGCAGAGAAGGGGGAGAACGACCACUUUGACACCUACGCGGAUGCACUCUGGUGGGGCCUGAUCACGCUGACCACCAUUGGCUACGGGGACAAGUACCCCCAGACCUGGAACGGCAGGCUCCUUGCGGCGACCUUCACCCUCAUCGGUGUCUCCUUCUUUGCGCUGCCUGCAGGCAUCUUGGGGUCUGGCUUUGCCCUGAAGGU